UACGGAGGGAGCUAGCGUUGUUCGGAAUUACUGGGCGUAAAGCGUACGUAGGCGGCUAUUCAAGUCAGAGGUGAAAGCCCGGGGCUCAACCCCGGAACUGCCUUUGAAACUAGGUAGCUAGAGUCUUGGAGAGGUUAGUGGAAUUCCGAGUGUAGAGGUGAAAUUCGUAGAUAUUCGGAAGAACACCAGUGGCGAAGGCGACUAACUGGACAAGUACUGACGCUGAGGUACGAAAGCGUGGGGAGCAAAAGGG
Molecule: ribosomal RNA, 253 nt
Filed under: uncultured bacterium
Lineage: Bacteria
Description: partial 16S ribosomal RNA
Rfam family: Bacterial small subunit ribosomal RNA
Source: RNAcentral